Manis javanica (Malayan pangolin) is the source of this 2463-nucleotide non-coding RNA. NCBI's taxonomy places the organism in Eukaryota, Metazoa, Chordata, Mammalia, Pholidota, Manidae. The record is from RefSeq and is a predicted model, not a curated record.
AUUAAUUUAAAAGCAGCUAAUUAUUUUAGAAAAGGGAAGUAGCUCUUGUGACUAUUAAAGAAUGAUUUAUUAGACGUAUAGCUUCCUGAGCUUAAAAAAGGUGACUUUCAUGAUAGUAAAUUACACCUCAACAAAGCUGUUUAAAAAUAUUAAGGUUUUCCCUCAUAGACAUUCAGCUCCAGUAGUAGCAGAAGUUUAAGGAGAAUUUUAUUCUUUUGAUAUUUUGCAAUUCUGCUUAAAUCUUAGAUUGAAGCAAUCCCCUUUUAACAAGAAUCCCCCUUUUAAAGUGAAAAGAUGCAUUCCUUUUAAUAGACUUUUCAAUAGUGUGUAAGAAGUUUUCCUGUCUUUCUCCUCAUCCCAGGCUCUCGGUUUGAUAUGGCUCAACACUUUCAUUUUUCACCAGAAGCAGAGUAAUAUUUAGUUGAAUUUAUAGGUAACAUUAAAGACAGAGCAAGGCUGAAGUCUAGUCUCCUCCUGAAAAAUAAUUCACAUGCUACAAUAGUUUUUAAAUGCUCAAGAGGCUAAGUCCCAACACAGAAGCAUAAAUUCCAGUGUUUGCAAUCAGUUUUCUCGCCUCCCAGCUGGGGGCAGGAGGUGUGGUUUCGGAAGCACAGCAGAAUCUUACCAAGGACGGAGGGAGGCAGGCAUAGGCUGGGGCUGUGCGUGCGCUCCGCUCCUGGGAACUGCUCGAGGCCUUGCUUUCCGUUCCAAGUACGUGAGCAUGCACAGAUCCAGCUGUGUUCUAAUGUAAUUUCUCAACUGAGAGUAUACUAAAAAGGCAGAGUUCACAGGUCUUUACGCUCCUGGGAUGCGCCCUGGCGCAGCGCAAACAGCAACCAUUUCUGCGCUGUGACUGUCCCACUGGGUGGAAGGGAGCCUUCUGCACAGAGACUGUCUCUACCUGUGACCCUGAAUAUGACCCUCCCCACCACUGCAGCAAGGGGGCAACGUGUGUCUCGCUGCCUCAUGGACACACCUGUUACUGUCCUCUGGGAACCACUGGGAUCUACUGCGAACAAGCUUUAUCUGUAAGUGAUCCGUCUUUUAGAAGCCAUGAGCUAUCCUGGAUGUCUUUUGCUGCCUUUCAUAUUCGAAAAAAGACACAUAUUCAGUUGCAGUUUCGUCCUCUUUCUGCAGAUGGUAUCCUAUUCUACGUUGCACAACACUUAAAAGCACAAUCAGGACUAUACAAUUGUAAAAUAAGAUAAAGACUGUGAAGGAGAGAAACCUGGUGCUAUUAAAGCACUAAUAGUACAAACCUAACCAACUCUGGAGAAUCAAGGAAGACUUCUAUGAGGAAGCGGCUUGUGAUCUGAGAUCUGCAAGAUGGGUAUGAAUUACCUUGAUGAGGUGGAAUGGAGUAAGAGGGCUCCAAGAGAACAUGCCCGAAGGUUCUGAAACAAAAGGAUAAACUCUUAACAAGGUCAGUGUUGCUGGGGUAGAGAGGAUGAGGGAAAAUGCUCUCCAGGUAAGGCUGGAUCUGAAGAGCCUCUAUAGAUACGUUCAAGAUUUUAGGUUCUUAUCCCAACAACAGUGUGCCAUUAAAGGACAGCAUAUUAUCAGCAGAUCACUUUAGCUUCAGCGUAGAUUAGAAAACCAAUGGUAAAGAAAGGAGUAGGGAGGCUCCAUCAGUAGUUCAAGUUAGAGAAGACAGUAAAUAUAAGGUAGGAGGAGAGAAGUGAACAAAAUCAAGAUGUUUACAAUGAACCAAAUGCUAAUAUUUGAUUAGAGACCUAUCUUUGAUAGAUUCUGUGUGGAUCAAAGAAAUGACAGAAUCAAGGAAUACACCCACAAUUUUGAAAAGCUGGAAUGGAUGAGUGACUGAGUUUGGGAAAACUGGAGGAGGCCAGGUGCAUGCAAGGAAGCUCACAAACUUAGACAGGAACUUUGAAGCUUAAGGUGCCUUUACAAGACCUAUGCAGGGAUCUCAGCUAACGAUCUGUAUACCUGUAGACAGAACAUGAUGCCAAGGGCAUGGCUGAAACUCUGCAGAGAGUACAAGAGGCUUUACAGUCCUACUGCCCUACUUCUCCCGCUCACCUCCCCAAUCUCUGCCAAAACAGAACCAGUGGCUUGGAGUUAAAUAUCCAAAUUACUUAUUUUUACACAUUCACCCUUAACUAAAAUCAUUAGAGAAAAACCUCACUUUAACUUAGUACAUUUAUUCAGUGCAAAAUAUUUACGAGAGAAAUCUUGUGUGACCAAUUUCUGAACAAAAGAAUACAGGAUAUAUGCAUGAACAUAUACAUGUAUUUUCAUCUGUAAAAGGAAACAAAACUCCCUAACGUAAUCACAAUCAAGACUUGUUGCCUUUUUCCCCCCAAAACCAAAACUUACUCAUGUGACCAGAAAGGGUUUUUAUGGAAGUAACAUUUUACUGUUAAUAAUUAAACUGGUUUUCUUUGUCAACAGGUGAUUUUUUAUGUAUCUCUUUAGUAAAUGGUUCUGCUCAACUUCGCUACA